Molecule: ribosomal RNA, 468 nt
Filed under: uncultured bacterium
Lineage: Bacteria
Description: partial 16S ribosomal RNA
Rfam family: Bacterial small subunit ribosomal RNA
Source: RNAcentral
GACGAACGCUGGCGGCGUGCUUAACACAUGCAAGUCGAACGGAAAGGCCCUGCUUUUGUGGGGUGCUCGAGUGGCGAACGGGUGAGUAACACGUGAGUAACCUGCCCUUGACUUUGGGAUAACUUCAGGAAACUGGGGCUAAUACCGGAUAGGAGCUCCUGCUGCAUGGUGGGGGUUGGAAAGUUUCGGCGGUUGGGGAUGGACUCGCGGCUUAUCAGCUUGUUGGUGGGGUAGUGGCUUACCAAGGCUUUGACGGGUAGCCGGCCUGAGAGGGUGACCGGCCACAUUGGGACUGAGAUACGGCCCAGACUCCUACGGGAGGCAGCAGUGGUGAAUAUUGCACAAUGGGCGGAAGCCUGAUGCAGCAACGCCGCGUGCGGGAUGACGGCCUUCGGGUUGUAAACCGCUUUCGCCUGUGACUAAGCGUGAGUGACGGUAAUGGGUAAAGAAGCACCGGCUAACUACGUG